AGACCAGAAGGGCAGUGCCAGCAAGAGAUCACCCCGGGGUAAAAGAGUGAGCAAGGGCUGUGGUGGGUAAGAGCAGCCCAUGGGGAUGGACAGCGGCUACUCCUCCCCCACCUCACAGCCACACACAGGGACAGGGACACAGCAGGACAGUGAGACACUCCUGUUCUCACCUGCAUUCAUAUCCUGACAAGAGGGCCAAGCACUGCAGGACAGGUAAGUCACUCCCAUACUAUAAACCACCUUAGUCCUAAAGAACCCUGGAAGAUCCUGAAAAACACUGUGAUGCAAAUACAAGGUCUAACCUGGUUAGCAGAGCCCUGGCCCCAAUGCAGGUGCUGGCACUGUACCUACUGAUUGCAGCGGCACUUUCAACACACAGUUGUGGAAAAGUGGAGGCAGAUCAGCAACCUGGUGAGCAGGGCUACACAGGGGAGGGCAACACAGGGAAUCAGAGCACGUGGCUGCUCCUUUAUUCCUUCCCGUCUGCAUUGCAGAUGGGCAUCUGCACAAAGAUGGAACCAGAGCAGAACACAUGCAUAUCCUCAGCCCUCUGUCAGGUCUCCAUGCUGCCAUACAGAACAGAUAAGUCAGACACAAAUGCUAUUCUUUCUACAUCCUCCAAAACCCUGGAAGGUCCCCAAGAUCCUCCUGCCCUCAGGGGGGCAAAUAUUUUAUACAACUUUGCUGAGCCCUGGCCCCACUGCAGGUGCUGGCAACGGAUCUACUGAUUGCAGUGGCCCUUUCGACACACAGCCAUGGAAAUUGCUGACAGAUCAGCAACCCGGUGAGUAGGGCCACACAGGGGAGGGCAUCACAGGGGAGCAGGGCACGUGGCUGCUCCUUUAUUCCUUCCUGUCUGCCUUGCAGAUGGACAUUUGCACAAAGACAGAACCAGAGCAGGACAUACACCUAUCCUCAGCCCUCUAACUGGUUUCCGUGCCACCAUGCAGAUAAGUCUGAAACAAACGCUAUCCUUCCUCAAUUCUAAAUUACCUUGGAAGCUCCCCAGGAUCCCCAUGCCCUCACCUCAACAUUUUAUACCACUUUGCUGAGUCCUGGCCCUGUUGCAGGUGCUUGCAACGGACCUACUGAUUGCAAUGCCAACUGAUAAAUGAGGCCAUGGAAAUGGCUCAUAGAUCAGUAACCCGGUGAGCAGGGCUACAUAGGGGAGGACAGCACAGGGAAGCAGGGCACAUGGCUGCUCCUUUAUUCCUUCCCAUCUGCCUUGCAGAUAGGCAACUGCUCAAAGUUGGAACCAGAGCAGGACACUCGCCUAUCCUCAGCCCAAUAACUGUUUUCCCUGCCGCCAUACAGAAUAAAUGACAGACAUGAACAGUGCUAGCACCAGACCACCAUUUUCCAGUGGCACAUUCAACACAUGGCCAUGGAAAUUGCUGGCAGAUCAGUAAGCCGGUGAGCAGGGCCAUGCAGGGGAAGGUAGAAAUGGAAGCAGGGCACGUGGCUGCUCCUUUAUUCCUUCCUGCCUGCCUUGCAGAUGGACAUUCACACAAAGAUGGAACCGGAGCAGGACUCAUGCCUAUCCUCAGCCCUCUAGCUGGUUUCCAUGAUGCCAUACAAAUAAGUCAGACAUAAACACUAUCCUUCCUCGAUCCUAAGAGACGUUGGAAGUUCCCCAGGAUCCCCCUGCCCUCACCCCAACAUUUUUUACCACUAUGCUGAACUCUGACCCCACUGCAGGUGCUGGCACUGGACCCAUUGAUUGCAGUAGCCCUUUCAACACACGGGCAUGGAAAUUGUUGGCAGAUGAGCAACCCGGUGAGUAGGGCCACACAAGGGAGUGCUGCACAGGGAAGCAGGGCACGUGGCUGCUCCUUUAUUCCUUCCCAUCUGCAGUGCAGAUGGGAAUCCGCUCAAAGAUGGAACCAGAGCAGGACACACACCUAGCCACAGCACUCUCACUGCUCUUCAUGCUGCCAUAUAGAUAAGAUAAGUCAGACACAAACGCUAUACAUUCUAUAUUCUAAGAGACUCUGGAAGCUCCCCAACAACCCCCUCCCCUCACCCCAACAUUUUACACCACUUUUCUGAACCUUGGCUUCUCUGCAGUUGCUGGCCAUGGAACUAAUGAUGGCAGUGGCACUUUCAACACACAGCCAUUGUAAUGGCUGGCAGAUGAGGAAUUUGGUGAGCAGGGCCACACAUGGGAGGGCAGCACAGGGAGGCAGGGCACAUGGCUGCUCCUUUAUUCCUUCCCAUCUGCCUUGCAGAUGGGCAUUCGUACAAAGAUAUAGCCGGAGCAGGACACAUGCCUAUCCUCAGCCCACUUACUGGUCUCCAUGCUGCCAUACAGAACAAAUACGAUUGGCCCAAACAGUAUCCUUUCUAGAUCCUAAGGGAUCCAGGACGCUCCCCAAGAUCCCCCUGCCCUCACCCCAAAGUUUUAUACCACUUUGCUGAACUCUGGCCCCACUGCAGGUGCUGGCACCUGACAUAUGGAUUUCAGUGGCCCUUUCAACACAUGGCUGUGGAAGUUGCUGGCAGAUGAGACACCCGGUGAGUAGGGCCACGCAAGGGAGUGCUGCACAGAGAAGCAGGGCACGUGGCUGCUCCUUUCUUCCUUCCUGUCUGCCUUGCAGAUGGGCAUCCGAUCAAAGAUGGAACCAGAGCAGGACUCACGCCUAUCCUCAGCCCUCUAGCUGGUUUCCAUGCCUCCAUACAGAACAAAUACAUCAGACACAAACAGUAUUCUUUCUAGAUCCUAAAGGACACUGGAAGUUCCCCAAGAACCUCCUGCCCCCACCCCAACAUUUUUUACCAGUUUGCUGAGCUCUGACCACACUGCAGGUGCUAAUACUGGAUCUGCUGAUCGCAGUGGCACUUUCAGCACACAGCCAUGGAAACUGCUGGCAGAUGAGCCACCCGAUAGGCAUCCACUCAAACGUGCAACCAGAGCAAGAUGCAUGCUUAUCCUCAGCCCACUUAAUGGUCUCCAUGCUGCCAUACAGAACAAACAAGUCAGACACAAACAGUAUCCUUUCAUAUAUACUAAGGGACCUUGGAAGCUGCCCAAGAUCCCCCUGCCCUCACCCCAACAUUUUUUACCACUUUGCUGAACUCUGACCCUACUGCAGGUGCUGGCACCAGACCUAUUGAUUGCAGUGGCUCUUUCAACACAUGGCCAUGGAAAUUGCUAGCAGAUGAGCCACCCAGUGAGUAGGGCCAUGCAAGAGAGGGCAUCACAGGGAAGCAGGGCAUGUGGCUGCUCCUUUAUUCCUUCCUGCCUGCCUUGCAGAUGGGCAUCUGAUCAAAGAUGGAACCAGAUGUGGACACUCAUCUCUCCUCAGCCCUCUAGCUGCUCUCCAUGCUGCCAUACUGAUCAGAUAAGUCAGACACAAACAGGAAGCUCCCCAUGAUCCCCCUGCUCUCACUCCAACAUUUUAUACCACUUUGCUGAGCCCUGGCCCCAUUGCAGAUGCUGGCACUGAACCUACUGAUUGCAGUGGCACUUUCAACACACGGCCAUGGAAAUGGUUGGCAGACCAGUAACCCAAUGGACUUCUUGGCACUGACAGAACCAGGCCUCCCCAGCCACCACCAAGCAACCCAUGUCUGCUCCUGGACAAGGCACAAAGUGAAGCAUGAGGAGAGCACACGCCCCGCCAUGAAAUGCACUGUGGUCCUACAGGAUCUGAGGAUCUGCAUGGCAUGGACAGAGGCAGCUCCACAGCACCUUCCAGCUACAGACCCCUCCAUGGACGUACACACACACACACAGACAUGCUCUACCGACAUAAUCAGCUCACCUUAGAAUGGAGUCAGGACCUUGAAUAUGGCACUCAUCAGCAUCUGAAGAAACCAUAUGGACUGUCUACAAUUGAGCUUUAAAUAUAUGGAAGGAAUAAGAAGGUAAAAAAGGAUGGAUGGACCCAACCCAGAAAUAGCAGAGACACCAUAUCCAGAAGAGAAGGCAAGCCCUGUAACUGAGCAUGCUCCUGAUGCCAGAGAUGAAAGUUUAGAAGCGAUGAAGAUUGACAGCCUUCUUCUCUCAACCCCCAGAUGACCACCAAGAAGCUACAACAGAAA
Gallus gallus (chicken) is the source of this 4044-nucleotide RNA transcript. RefSeq lists it as uncharacterized. NCBI's taxonomy places the organism in Eukaryota, Metazoa, Chordata, Aves, Galliformes, Phasianidae. The transcript is spliced from 4 exons. The record is from RefSeq and is a predicted model, not a curated record.